Molecule: unclassified non-coding RNA, 320 nt
Filed under: Hevea brasiliensis (rubber tree)
Lineage: Eukaryota; Viridiplantae; Streptophyta; Magnoliopsida; Malpighiales; Euphorbiaceae
Source: RNAcentral
AGACAAUAUACUUCAUACUGCAAAUUCCAGCAGAAAAUUUUACUUCAUGGUGUAUAUUUGAAAUGUAAAGCCAGAAGAAUGCAGAUCAGCAUCCUGACCAUAUUUGAUCCAAUUUUAUAUCAUUAAGUACCAUCUCAACCAUAUUUGAACCAAUUUUCUACCAUCACGUAUAAAACUUAGAGCGGGUGUAUAUUUGAAAUGUAAAGCCAGAAGAAUGCAGAUCAGCAUCCUGACCAUAUUUGAUCCAAUUUUAUAUCAUUAAGUACCAUCUCAACCAUAUUUGAACCAAUUUUCUACCAUCACGUAUAAAACUUAGAGCG